UGUAUUUCAUCAUAGCAUAUUAAAAAAAAAAACUGGAGAAUGAUGAAAGUGCGGGAGCUGAAAGUGCGGUAGGUAAGGUUGCCGUAGAAAUGGUCGCUAAGUGAGAGCUGAGGAUUCGGUGCAGGAAGGGGCUGAGGCGGGAGACGAGGAUAUCGCUGCUGCCCCAAGGAAUGCCAAGAAAACCAUUGGCUUGACCGUACCCUACUCUGUACAGCAAUGGAAGGAGCUGAUCUUCAGGACGUUUCAGAACAGUCACAAUGUUAUUUU
Hyla sarda is the source of this 267-nucleotide long non-coding RNA. RefSeq lists it as uncharacterized. Lineage: Eukaryota; Metazoa; Chordata; Amphibia; Anura; Hylidae. The record is from RefSeq and is a predicted model, not a curated record. The transcript is spliced from 2 exons.